Molecule: ribosomal RNA, 433 nt
Filed under: uncultured bacterium
Lineage: Bacteria
Description: partial 16S ribosomal RNA
Rfam family: Bacterial small subunit ribosomal RNA
Source: RNAcentral
AACGAACGCUGGCGGCAGGCUUAACACAUGCAAGUCGAGCGCAUCCUUCGGGGUGAGCGGCGGACGGGUGAGUAACGCGUGGGAACGUGCCCUCUUCUACGGAAUAGCCUCGGGAAACUGAGAGUAAUGCCGUAUACGCCCGCAAGGGGAAAGAUUUAUCGGAGGAGGAUCGGCCCGCGUUGGAUUAGGUAGUUGGUGGGGUAACGGCCUACCAAGCCGACGAUCCAUAGCUGGUUUGAGAGGAUGAUCAGCCACACUGGGACUGAGACACGGCCCAGACUCCUACGGGAGGUAGCAGUGGGGAAUCUUGGACAAUGGGGGCAACCCUGAUCCAGCCAUGCCGCGUGAUCGAUGAAGGCCUUAGGGUUGUAAAGAUCUUUCAGCUGGGAAGAUAAUGACGGUACCAGCAGAAGAAGCCCCGGCUAACUCCGUG